AGGAUAAACGCUGGCGGCGUGCCUAACACAUGCAAGUCGAACGUCUCUUCUUUCGGGAAGAGGAGUGGCGGACGGGUGAGGAACACGUGGGAACCUGCCCUUUAGUGAGGAAUACCGGCGAGAAAUCGCCGACAAGACCGCAUAGCCCUCUUUGAUGAGAGUCAAAGAAGGAAAGCUUCGCAAGAGGCGCUAGAGGAGGGGCCUGCGUCCGAUUAGCUAGUUGGUGGGGUAAGAGCCUACCAAGGCGUCGAUCGGUAGCUGGUCUGAGAGGACGAUCAGCCACACUGGGAUUGAGAACGGCCCAGACUCCUACGGGGGGCAGCAGUGAGGAAUUUUCGGCAAUGGGGGAAACCCUGACCGAGCAACGCCGCGUGCAGGAAGACGGCCUUCGGUUGUAACUGCUUUUCUUUGGGACGAGAACGGACGGUACCAGAGGAAUCAGCCCGGCUCACUACGUGCCAGCAGCCGC
This 469-nucleotide ribosomal RNA is filed under the name uncultured bacterium. RNAcentral describes it as "SSU rRNA". It matches the Rfam family "Bacterial small subunit ribosomal RNA", at positions 26 to 518 of the family's 1533-position model. The record is from RNAcentral.